RNAcentral lists this transfer RNA (73 nucleotides) under Trichonephila clavata. It matches the Rfam family "tRNA". Rfam says of the family: Transfer RNA (tRNA) molecules are approximately 80 nucleotides in length. Lineage: Eukaryota; Metazoa; Arthropoda; Arachnida; Araneae; Nephilidae. The record is from Rfam by way of RNAcentral.
GUCUCUGUAGCAUAACGGAUAGCGCGUUGGACUUCUAAUCCAAAAGUCGUGGGCUCGAAUCCCGCCUGGGAUG